This 220-nucleotide unclassified non-coding RNA is filed under the name Hevea brasiliensis (rubber tree). The record is from RNAcentral. Lineage: Eukaryota; Viridiplantae; Streptophyta; Magnoliopsida; Malpighiales; Euphorbiaceae.
GAAACAAACAAACAAACAAGCCAAAGAUACACUCAACAUCAUGAUUGAGACAUGAUGAUCAUUUCACAUUCGUUCCAAAUCAUAACUAAAUGUGCCUAUCAAGGCUGCUUCUACUCCCAACAGUCAUUAAACAAACCUACAAAAGAAAUUUCAAAUUAAGAGCUAAUUUUACGCCUUUUUUCCCCAAUAUAAGCUAAAUAAACACAAAUUGAUAGAGAAA